UGGGGAAUCUUCCGCAAUGGACGAAAGUCUGACGGAGCAACGCCGCGUGAGUGAAGAAGGUUUUCGGAUCGUAAAACUCUGUCUUUUGGGGCGAACGUGAGUAUGGUGAACAAUCAUAGUCAGUGACGGUACCAAAGGAGGAAGCCACGGCUAACUACGUGCCAGCAGCCGCGGUAAUACGUAGGUGGCAAGCGUUGUCCGGAAUUAUUGGGCGUAAAGAGCGCGUAGGCGGGAUAGUCAGUCUGUUGUAAAGUGCGGGGCUCAACCCCGUGAUGGCAAUGGAAACAGCUAUUCUUGAGUGCAGGAGAGGAAAGUGGAAUUCCCAGUGUAGCGGUGAAAUGCGUAGAUAUUGGGAGGAACACCAGUGGCGAAGGCGACUUUCUGGACUGUGUCUGACGCUGAGGCGCGAAAGCCAGGGGAGCGAACGGGAUUAGAUACCCCGGUAGUCCUGGCCGUAAACGAUGGGUACUAGGUGUGGGAGGUAUCGACCCCCUUUCCGUGCCGGAGUUAACGCAAUAAGUACCCCGCCUGGGGAGUACGGUCGCAAGACUGAAAACUUAAAUGAAUUGACGGGGGUCAUAGCUGUUUCCUG
RNAcentral lists this ribosomal RNA (592 nucleotides) under uncultured bacterium. RNAcentral describes it as "partial 16S ribosomal RNA". It matches the Rfam family "Bacterial small subunit ribosomal RNA", at positions 355 to 941 of the family's 1533-position model. The record is from RNAcentral.